RNAcentral lists this ribosomal RNA (482 nucleotides) under uncultured bacterium. RNAcentral's name for it is "partial 16S ribosomal RNA". It matches the Rfam family "Bacterial small subunit ribosomal RNA", at positions 30 to 507 of the family's 1533-position model. The record is from RNAcentral.
AUUGAACGCUGGCGGCAUGCUUUACACAUGCAAGUCGAACGGUAACAGGCCGCAAGGUGCUGACGAGUGGCGAACGGGUGAGUAAUGCAUCGGAACGUGCCCAGUCGUGGGGGAUAACUACUCGAAAGAGUAGCUAAUACCGCAUACGAUCUAUGGAUGAAAGCGGGGGACCGUAAGGCCUCGCGCGAUUGGAGCGGCCGAUGUCUGAUUAGGUAGUUGGUGGGGUAAAGGCUCACCAAGCCAACGAUCUGUAGCUGGUCUGAGAGGACGACCAGCCACACUGGGACUGAGACACGGCCCAGACUCCUACGGGAGGCAGCAGUGGGGAAUUUUGGACAAUGGGCGCAAGCCUGAUCCAGCAAUGCCGCGUGCAGGAAGAAGGCCUUCGGGUUGUAAACUGCUUUUGUACGGAACGAAACGGCUCUGGUUAAUACCCGGGGCUAAUGACGGUACCGUAAGAAUAAGCACCGGCUAACUACGUG